Molecule: non-coding RNA, 1110 nt
Filed under: Globisporangium ultimum DAOM BR144
Lineage: Eukaryota; Oomycota; Peronosporomycetes; Pythiales; Pythiaceae
Description: Pythium ultimum DAOM BR144 Bacterial large subunit ribosomal RNA
Rfam family: Bacterial large subunit ribosomal RNA
Source: Rfam by way of RNAcentral
AAAUAGGGGGUUGCGACUGUUUAAUAAAAACUUAGGACUCUGCUAAAUGGUAACAUGAUGUAUAGGGUCUGACACCUGCCCGGUGCUGGAAGAUUAAUAGGAGAUGUUUGCGCAUUGAAUGGAAGUCCCAGUAAACGGCGGCCGUAACUCUGACGGUCCUAAGGUAGCGAAAUUCCUUGUCGGGUAAGUUCCGACCUGCAUGAAUGGUGUAACGACAUCCCCGCUGUCUCCAAUAUAAACUCAGUGAAUUUGAAUUAUCCGUGAAGAUGCGGAUUCUCUAUAGUUAGACGGAAAGACCCCGUGAACCUUUACUACAUCUUUAUAUUGUUAUUUUAUCUAAUAUGUGUAGCAUAAGUGGGAAUCAAUAAGACCUUCACGCUAGUGAAUUGUUUAGAUAACAUUGAAAUACCACUCUUAUUAAAAUAAAUAACUAAUAUUUUUAUAAAUAGACAGUGUAUGGUUGGUAGUUUGACUGGGGCGGUCACCUCCUAAAGAGUAACGGAGGUGUACAAAGGUAAGCUCAAAUUGGAUUAUAUUAUCAAUUGUAGAGCGCAAUGGUAUAAGCUUGCUUGACUGUAAGAUAGACAUAUCAAACAGGGACGAAAGUCGGUCAUAGUGAUCCGAUAAUUCUUUGUGGAAAGAUUAUCGCUCAACGGAUAAAAGGUACUCCGGGGAUAACAGGCUGAUGACUCCUAAGAGCUCCUAUCGACGGAGUCGUUUGGCACCUCGAUGUCGACUCAUCACAUCCUGGAGCUGAAGAAUGUUCCAAGGGUUCGGCUGUUCGCCGAUUAAAGUGGUACGUGAGUUGGGUUUAGAACGUCGUGAGACAGUUUGGUUCCUAUCUUCUAUAGAUAUUUUGAAAAAUGAAAGAAUCUAACUCUAGUACGAGAGGACCGAGAAGGGUAAAUCACUGGUGUAUCGGUUGUUUAAUAGGCAUCGCCGAGUAGCUAAAUUUAUUUUGGAUAAUUACUGAAAGCAUCUAAGUAAGAAACCAUUCUUAAAAAUUUUUCAUAUGAAAACUGUAAAAGACUAUUACAUUGAUAGGUUUUAAGUGUAAGUAUCGUAAGGUAUUCAGCUUAAAAAUACUAAAAGUUUCAAAAUUUUAAAUAU